CACAUAUUAACUGUGUGUACAAGCAGCUGAACUGCAAGGUAGACCUCAUAAAGCAACAAGUACAAGAAUGUGUGUGUGUGUGUGUGUGUGUGUGUGUGUGUCUCGUUAAUGACUGCAUCCUAAACAGCUGUGAGAUCAAAGGCAAAUCACUGACCUACUGUUUGAAUGAGAAGCAGCUGAACUGCAGAGGAUUUAGAGGCUCUAAACUUCUUCACAUAGCGUGAUUUCCUUAAGUCCCAGAUUGAAAAUAAGAACAUCGUACGAAUCCUCCGUCCUUCAUGAACACAAUGAUGUGUUUUUCAUGUCUGUACUUCGAAAAAUGAGGCCACAACAGCGAGUUAAAAAAGUCUGAGCCUGAGCGAUGAUCCAGAUUUUCUUGGAGAAAAAUAACAUGACGGUCAAUGGGAGAGAUUUCCGCUUUCCUUGGACAGUUGGUCACCUGCUGGCCAAGGGGUACGAUUUAAUGAUUUGAAACCUCUUUUGUGAGAAGCAGGACACAUAUACCUCCAUUUUGAUGUAUUAUUUAUGGCUCUGGAGUGAGAUUUGUGGGCGUGGGAGCGAUAUAUUCGAGCGAGGUUCUGUCGAAAAAAGGGGAGCUGUCCACUCUAGCGAUGACAUCAUCACUCUAGCCUCUCCAAUACACACCCAUUAUAAAACCUGAAAUUUGCUGAAAACCAGGAGUUGCUUAAAGCUAAAUUGUGGAAAAACUGUAGGAGAUAUCAAAAAUGUGUAUACAAGUUUAAUAGUCGACAAGUGAAUGAACAUUUUAAAGCAAAAAUGAGGUCUCUAGGUGAAAGUAUGCUGAAGUUUUAAGGUUUAGAAGGUGGAAGAAGAAAAGGAAGAAUUGGAAGAUUUCCCCAUUGACUUCAAUGUUAAAAUUUUUGCACAAAAAGUAAAAAAAAACAAAAAGUAUAAAGGGUAGAAAGGUAAAAAGUACGAGCCCUCAUGUCCUGAAGGAGUGGAAUAGUUUAAAGUUUGAACGGUUUAAAUAGCACAAAGCAGGAAGGAGUUAGAAGUGGACGAAAAUUGGCGGAAGAAUAAUAAUAACUAGAAAAAUUGCAUUUCCUUGCAGAAAAUGUGUGGAAAUGCUGAGUGCUGAAAGCUGAAAAAGCAAUGCUAAACUGCUAAUAAAACAUGGAGAAAGGUAUAAAUGUUAAAGCUGUUGAAGGGGUGAAAAAGAAAUAUAAGUUGGAUAAUGGAUUAAUUGGUUGAAGGACAAAUAGUAUGAAUAUGCUCUAUAAAAGGAAAUUUGAUUCAUGCUGAAAGAGGCUAGAAAAAGGUCUAAAAUUGCACAAAGUUUGAAUGAAGAAGGAAACUGCCUUUAAAGGCAGGAAGGUGAGAAGUGGCAUAAGUUUAAGUUGUAGUACUAGAAGUAGUAUGAUAAGAAGUAAAGUAGUGAUACUUGUAGUCAUGUCAGCAGUAGAAGUAGUUUGAGAAUAAAAGAAGUAUAAGUCAAAGUAGUAAAGAAAGUAACAAUAGUAGCAGUAGCAGCAGUAGAGAAAGUAGAAAUAGGAGCAAUAGCAGUUGAAGUAGAGGGGAAAGUACUAGUUUAAUUGACAUUAGCAGUAGUUGUCGUACUUGAGGUAGGAUUUUGUUUGAAGGAUGGAGUAAUGCAUAAAUAUUAAAACUAAUUUAAAACAGGGAAAAUUUAAAUAAUGAAAAAUCCUCAAGUAUCAAAUGGUUUUUAAGUAUUAGAAAGGUUUGUAUCAGUUUGAAUGAGUUUAAAUUAGUUUGAAAAAUUAAAUGAUAAAUCAUCACUGAGUGACUUAUAAAAGUGAAAAUUUAAAUGAAUAUAAAUCAUGAAUACACCCCAUAAUGUCCUUAAUGAGCAUAAAUUUUAAAGCCCUGAAUGGUUUCUGUAGGUCAAAGGUCAUGUGAGGAGAUAGGGGCUGAAGUUUUUUCAAGCGCUCUAGGAAAGGGUUUUAAGUGUCAUCCCAAGUGCUAUGUGUACUGAGCCUGGCUUCAUGUGUCUCAUAUGGCCAUCAGAAGCAGCUUUCCAGUCAGCUGUGUGUCUCCAGAUGGACUAAUUUGUUGCCAUGGGGACCUUGGAUGCAUAACUAUAGCAGGAGAAAAAAUUGAAGCUAAGGAAACAGGGCUCCAAGUAGGCCUUGACGCUCAUCCUAUGUAUAUAUUAAUGAUAAGGAGCUUGUGAGAACACAAGACUCUGCUGAACACACUAAUACAAUUUAUUAUCACAAUCCUCAAAACACCCCAUAAUAUCUUCAAUGAGCUGAAUUUUUGAAGCCCAGAAUGGUUUCUGUAGCUCAAAGUUUGUGGGUGGAGAUAGGUGGUGAAGCAGACACAUAUUAGCUGUGUGUACAAGCAGCUGAACUGCAAGGUGGACCUCAAAAAGCAACAAGUACAAGAAUGUGUGUGCGUGUGUGUGUGUGUGUGUGUGUGUGUGUGUGUGUGUGUGUGUGUGUGUGUCUCGUUAAUGACUGCAUCCUAAACAGCUGUGAGAUCAAAGGCAAAUCACUAACCUACUGUUUGACUGAGAGGUGCUGAACUGCAGUGAAUUUCAGCCUGUGAACUUCUUCACAUAGCGUGAUUUCCUUAAGUCCCAGAAUGAAAAUAAGAACAUCGUACGAAUCCUCCGUCCUUCAUGAACACAAUGAUGUGUUUUUCAU
Xyrichtys novacula (pearly razorfish) is the source of this 2627-nucleotide non-coding RNA. The record is from the annotation of a GenBank genome assembly. Lineage: Eukaryota; Metazoa; Chordata; Actinopteri; Labriformes; Labridae.